UAUGUGAUCGUCUCUCGCAUAUCAAUAAGCGGAGGAAAAGAAACUAACAAGGAUUCCCCUAGUAACGGCGAGUGAAGCGGGAAGAGCUCAAAUUUGAAAUCUUAAAGGGUUUCCCUUUACGAAUUGUAGUUUAAAGAAGUGUUUUCUGUUGAGGUUUUGGUAAAAGUUCUUUGGAAUAGGACAUCAUAGAGGGUGAGAAUCCCGUAUUUGACCUUUACUUUCAACUUUGUGAUACACUUUCAAAGAGUCGGAUAGUUUGGGAAUGCAGUCCAAAAUGGGUGGUAAAUUUCAUCUAAAGCUAAAUAUUGGCGAGAGACCGAUAGCGAACAAGUACCGUGAGGGAAAGAUGAAAAGAACUUUGAAAAGAGAGUUAAACAGUACGUGAAAUUGUCAAAAGGGAAGCGUUUGACACCAGUGUUGUUUUUCUGAAAAUCAAUUAAAGAACUGUUUAUGCUAAGCUGUUUAGACUUUAUCAGCUAUCUGUUUAGUUUUGAGCUUUUCUUUAAUGCACUUUUCAGUUAACAAGUCAACAUCAAUUUCUUUUGCUGUAAAAAAGCUUGAGGAAGGUGGCUUGAGAUUCGUCUUAAGUGUUUAUAGCCUCUUGCCUAUGCAGUCGGAGAGAUUGAGGUCUGCAGCGUAGAUCCUUCGGGGCUAAAUGCAUUUGUGCUAAGUUAUAGCAUUUUAUAGACAACUUGUUGACUAUGAUUUGUCUUGUAGCUUACUCGCUUAUGUUAUUUUACCUACGCUUAGGAUGUUGAGCGCAUGUCUCUCUCUC
This 775-nucleotide ribosomal RNA is filed under the name uncultured Neocallimastigales. Its description in RNAcentral is "partial large subunit ribosomal RNA". It matches the Rfam family "Eukaryotic large subunit ribosomal RNA", at positions 24 to 619 of the family's 3401-position model. Lineage: Eukaryota; Fungi; Neocallimastigomycota; Neocallimastigomycetes; Neocallimastigales. The record is from RNAcentral.